AGGACGAACGCUGGCGGCGCGCCUAAAACAUGCAAGUCGAACGAGAAGCCCGGGCUUGCCCGGGUGGACAGUGGCGAACGGGUGAGUAACACGUGAGGAACCUGCCCCGAAGACCGGGACAACAUCGGGAAACCGUUGCUAAAUACCGGAUGCCCUCGAAGGAUCGCAUGGUCCAUCGAGGAAAUGGAUUCCGCUUCGGGAUGGCCUCGCGGCCUAUCAGCUUGUUGGUGAGGUAACGGCUCACCAAGGCUUCGACGGGUAGCUGGUCUGAGAGGAUGUCCAGCCACACUGGGACUGAGACACGGCCCAGACUCCUACGGGAGGCAGCAGUUAGGAAUCUUGCGCAAUGGACGAAAGUCUGACGCAGCGACGCCGCGUGCGGGAUGAAGGCCCUCGGGUUGUAAACCGCUUUCAGCAGGGACGAAAUUGACGGUACCUGACAGAAGAAGCCCCGGCAACUACGUGCCAGCAGCCGC
This 476-nucleotide ribosomal RNA is filed under the name uncultured bacterium. RNAcentral's name for it is "SSU rRNA". It matches the Rfam family "Bacterial small subunit ribosomal RNA", at positions 26 to 518 of the family's 1533-position model. The record is from RNAcentral.